Molecule: ribosomal RNA, 433 nt
Filed under: uncultured bacterium
Lineage: Bacteria
Description: partial 16S ribosomal RNA
Rfam family: Bacterial small subunit ribosomal RNA
Source: RNAcentral
AACGAACGCUGGCGGCAUGCCUAACACAUGCAAGUCGAACGAGGCCUUCGGGUCUAGUGGCGCACGGGUGCGUAACGCGUGGGAACCUGCCUUUAGGUUCGGAAUAACUCCCCGAAAGGGGUGCUAAUACCGGAUAAUGUCUUCGGACCAAAGAUUUAUCGCCUUUGGAUGGGCCCGCGUUGGAUUAGCUAGUUGGUAGGGUAAAAGCCUACCAAGGCGACGAUCCAUAGCUGGUCUGAGAGGAUGAUCAGCCACACUGGGACUGAGACACGGCCCAGACUCCUACGGGAGGCAGCAGUGGGGAAUAUUGGACAAUGGGCGAAAGCCUGAUCCAGCAAUGCCGCGUGAGUGAUGAAGGCCUUAGGGUUGUAAAGCUCUUUUACCCGGGAUGAUAAUGACAGUACCGGGAGAAUAAGCUCCGGCUAACUCCGUG